UACUGAGUGGCGGACGGGUGAGUAUAAUGUGGGUAUCUACCCAUUGGUUUGGAAUAACACGGGGAAACUUGUGCUAAUACCGGAUAAGCCCUUACGGGGAAAGCUUUAUGCGCCAAAGGAUGAGCCCGCACUUGAUUAGCUUGUUGGUGAGGUAAAAGCUUACCAAGGCAACGAUCAAUAGCUGAUCUGAGAGGAUGAUCAGCCACAUUGGGACUGAGACACGGCCCAAACUCCUACGGGAGGCAGCAGUGGGGAAUCUUGCACAAUGGGGGAAACCCUGAUGCAGCGAUGCCGCGUGAGUGAAGAAGGCCUUUGGGUUGUAAAGCUCUUUCGUCGGGGAAGAAAAUGACUGUACCCGAAUAAGAAGGUCCGGCUAACUUCGUGCCAGCAGCCGCGGUAAUACGAAGGGACCUAGCGUGGUUCGGAAUUACUGGGCUUAAAGAGCUCGUAGGUGGUUAGAAAAGUUAGUGGUGAAAGCCCAAGGCUUAACCUUGGAACUGCCACUAAAACUUUUUGACUAGAGUAUGAUAGAGGUAAGCGGAAUUUCUAGUGUAGAGGUGAAAUUCGUAGAUAUUAGAAAGAACACCAAUUGCGAAGGCAGCUUUCUGGAUCAUUACUGACACUGAGGAGCGAAAGCAUGGGUAGCGAAGAGGAUUAGAUACCCUCGUAGUCCAUGCUGUAAACGAUGUGUGCUAGACGUUGGAAAUUUAUUUUCAGUGUCGCAGCAAAAGCGUUAAGCACACCGCCUGGGGAGUACGACCGCAAGGUUUAAACUCAAAUGAAUUGACGGGGACCCGCACAAGUAG
RNAcentral lists this ribosomal RNA (806 nucleotides) under uncultured marine bacterium. RNAcentral describes it as "bacterial SSU rRNA". It matches the Rfam family "Bacterial small subunit ribosomal RNA", at positions 89 to 932 of the family's 1533-position model. The record is from RNAcentral.